Molecule: long non-coding RNA, 185 nt
Organism: Thalassophryne amazonica
Lineage: Eukaryota; Metazoa; Chordata; Actinopteri; Batrachoidiformes; Batrachoididae
Exons: 3
Source: RefSeq, a predicted model, not a curated record
GAAGAGAGGGCAGCUAUGAAGAGGAUGAAGAAUGAAAAGGCAGUUGGUCCAGAUGACAUUCUAGUGGAAGCAUGGAAAUGUUAGGAGAGAUGACAGUGCAUUUUCUCACCAGAUUGUUUAAUAAAAUCGUGGAAAGUGAGAGGAUAUCUGAGGAGUGGAGACAAAGUGUGUUGGUUCUAUAUUUA